This 77-nucleotide small RNA is filed under the name Xanthomonas populi. RNAcentral's name for it is "sX9 sRNA". It matches the Rfam family "Xanthomonas sRNA sX9". Lineage: Bacteria; Pseudomonadati; Pseudomonadota; Gammaproteobacteria; Lysobacterales; Lysobacteraceae. The record is from RNAcentral.
AUGUACCACUCGUACACUCCGGUUCUGAGCGCGCCGUCCGCACCCGCCUGACGACUGCUCGCUACGUUUUGUUAGCC